This 614-nucleotide long non-coding RNA is filed under the name Helianthus annuus (common sunflower). RNAcentral's name for it is "sRNA HanXRQr2_Chr02g0080151". The record is from RNAcentral. Lineage: Eukaryota; Viridiplantae; Streptophyta; Magnoliopsida; Asterales; Asteraceae.
UUUGUAUUUUCCUUCCCAUCCGUGCUGCUUCCUUAGGACUUUUAUGUUUCAACUCGACUGGAACUAUGUUGAUCGCACACCACUAAUCUUGGGACAGGAAACGUUCACGUAUUAUCAGUUCAGCAUCAUCAUGUGGAGCUUGCAAUAACUGUGCAAAUAUUGAGAGAAUAAACGGUCAACACAUUAAGGGGUUACAAUGAGCAUAGAAAUAUUGCACACACCUCUUAUGAACGCGUAAAGAAAGGCAUAUAAGCAUUAUUUAUCUCAGGCCUAGUAUAAUUUGGGAUGUAGAGAGUGAUUAAUUAAAUCAUUAAAACUGGUGAUUGGCAGUUAUUUUACAUUUUUUCCAUUUCAGUUUUAUUAAAACUUGUUACAUGCUUCACAAAGGUUGUGUGCAAUACAAAACCAUUAUUAAGUAGAGAAAUGCGAGAAUCGCAUAAGCACUUGUACGUAAUGCAUGGGAGAUAAACACAUGUGAUGAUAAAGAGAAAGCAAGGCGUAUAAAAAAACAACUAAUGUAUCACGUUUAAAGUAAUUAAUAUAAGUACCUAUGCGGUUCUCGCAAUUCAUUACAAAAAAAUAGGUUACGUAUUGAACAUCCCUCUAUUUCUCAA